UACGUAGGUGGCGAGCGUUGUCCGGAUUUAUUGGGCGUAAAGGGAACGCAGGCGGCCUUUUAAGUCUGAUGUGAAAGCCUUCGGCUUAACCGAAGUAGUGCAUUGGAAACUGGAAGACUUGAGUGCAGAAGAGGAGAGUGGAACUCCAUGUGUAGCGGUGAAAUGCGUAGAUAUAUGGAAGAACACCAGUGGCGAAAGCGGCUCUCUGGUCUGUAACUGACGCUGAGGUUCGAAAGCGUGGGUAGCAAACAGG
RNAcentral lists this ribosomal RNA (253 nucleotides) under Ligilactobacillus ruminis. RNAcentral's name for it is "partial 16S ribosomal RNA". It matches the Rfam family "Bacterial small subunit ribosomal RNA", at positions 524 to 776 of the family's 1533-position model. Lineage: Bacteria; Bacillati; Bacillota; Bacilli; Lactobacillales; Lactobacillaceae. The record is from RNAcentral.